Molecule: long non-coding RNA, 649 nt
Filed under: Lactuca sativa (garden lettuce)
Lineage: Eukaryota; Viridiplantae; Streptophyta; Magnoliopsida; Asterales; Asteraceae
Description: long non-coding RNA (LSAT_LNC004064)
Source: RNAcentral
CAUACCUAAUUGCAAAAUCAUAAGACCAAAAUACACCAAUCAUUUAAGAGAAUCGUUCCACUAUGGUAGCAAAAAGGGAAAAAACCCAUCAUAGCCGACAUUAGUUCUCUUUUCCUACAACCAAAAAUAACCACAUCCCAACCAGAAAUCCACAGUUAAAACUUAAAAGGGUGAAUCAUGAAUAUACGAGAUCAGUGAAACAAAAAGUUACAACUAAAACCCCUUUGUCUAACAUUUCUUGGGCCUUCCUCUUCCUCUUUUGGCCGGUGUUGGUGUUGGUGUUGGUGUUGCUCCUCCCUUUGUGGCGGCAGAUGGGCCCUUCUGCUUCUUCCUUCCACCUUUUUCAUCACCGUUUUCCUCUUCGACUUCUGACUCAGGUGGCUCCUCAGAUUUCGUCUUCCUCUUGUUGGAUUUUUGAGGUGUUGCUCCUCCCUUUGUGGUGGCCGAUGGGCGGCCUCCACCACGGCCUUUGCCGGAAGUCUUGCCACCCUUCUGCUUCUUCUUUCCACCAUUUCCAUUUGCUUUUUCAUCACUACCGUCUUCACUUUCAUUACCAUUUUCCUCUUCAACUUCUGACUCAGGUGGCUCCUCAGAUUUUGUCUUCUUCUUUGAUUUUUCAGAUGUUUUUGCAGCACUCGCCUUUUUAGGU